GGGAGGGCUCCUUCCUUGCUUCAGCCCCUCCUCCUACACGGCCCUGCCAGUGGGGGCUCGACUCAGCCUCCUCCUUGGCUUGGCUCCUGCAGCUUGUACAAGAACAACAUCGGGGAUGCAGGGGCGGAGCAUGUGGCGAAGGUGCUGCCCCAGAUGUGUGCCUUGCGGGUGCUGGACCUGCACUGCAACCAGAUUUCUGCUGCUGGAGCCCGGUGUCUGACGGAGCGCCUGAGAAGAUGCCCCCACGUCCAGAGCUUGGCGCUGUGGAACCCCACAAUCCCUCACGGGGUUCUGGAUCACCUGCAGCAGCUGGAUUCUCGGAUCAGAAGGUUUUAGGGGCAGCCCCUGGCCGGUCAGUUCGGGUUCUGUGGUGGAGGACUGGAUCCUCUUUCUGAAGGAAUCCUCUCCAGGGCAGUUGACGCCAGGUCCCACAUUCUGUGAAAUAGCGGAAGGCAAGGGAAAUGUGUGUGUGUCUCUGCAGAGAGGUGGAAGCGUCAAAAGUUAUUUGACUUAGCAGAGAUAUCUAUGGAGAAUAAGCAACUGACUUCUUAAGAAAGAAAAAAAAACUACGUAAUGCUGGUGCUUUCUGAAUAAACUCCCCUCCCUUUGAGAUCCGAU
Molecule: long non-coding RNA, 618 nt
Filed under: Laticauda laticaudata (blue-ringed sea krait)
Lineage: Eukaryota; Metazoa; Chordata; Lepidosauria; Squamata; Elapidae
Description: lncRNA (ENSLLTG00000009441.1)
Source: RNAcentral